This 492-nucleotide ribosomal RNA is filed under the name uncultured bacterium. RNAcentral describes it as "partial 16S ribosomal RNA". It matches the Rfam family "Bacterial small subunit ribosomal RNA", at positions 28 to 507 of the family's 1533-position model. The record is from RNAcentral.
AUUGAACGCUGGCGGCAUGCUUUACACAUGCAAGUCGAACGGUAACAGGCCUUCGGGUGCUGACGAGUGGCGGACGGGCGAGUAAUGCAUCGGAACGUGCCCAGAGUUGGGGGCUAACGCAGCGAAAGCUGUGCUAAUACCGCAUGUGAUCUGAGGGUGAAAGCGGGGGACCAGGCAGCAAGGUUUGGCCUCGCGCCUUUGGAGCGGCCGAUGGCCGAUUGGGUUGUUGGCGGGGUAAAGGCCCACCAAGCCGACGAUCGGUAGCCGGUCUGAGAGGACGACCGGCCACACUGGGACUGAGACACGGCCCAGACUCCUACGGGAGGCAGCAGUGGGGAAUUUUGGACAAUGGGCGCAAGCCUGAUCCAGCAAUGCCGCGUGCGGGAAGAAGGCCUUCGGGUUGUAAACCGCUUUUGUACGGAACGAAAAGUCUCUGGCUAAUACCUGGGGCUGAUGACGGUACCGUAAGAAUAAGCACCGGCUAACUACGUG